GAUGAACGCUAGCGGCAGGCCUAAUACAUGCAAGUCGAACGGAAUCCAGAUCAAAUCUUUCUUUGGUCUGUUGAGAGUGGCGCACGGGUGCGUAACGCGUGAGCAACCUACCCUUGUCAGGGGGAUAGCCCGGCGAAAGUCGGAUUAAUACCGCAUGACAUCAUUGAGUGGCAUCUUUCGAUGAUCAAAGAUUUAUCGGACAAGGAUGGGCUCGCGUGACAUUAGCUAGUUGGUAAGGUAACGGCUUACCAGGGCUGCGAUGUCUAGGGGCUCUGAGAGGAGCAACCCCGACACUGGUACUACGACACGGACCAGACUGGUACGGGCGGCAGCAGUAAGGAAUAUUGGGCAAUGAACGGAAGUCUGAAACAGCCAUGCCGGGUGCAGGGGGACGGGCCUAUGAGUUGUAAACUGCUUUUAAACGGGAACAAACGACGGUACGUGUAACGGUCUGAGGGUACCGUAAGAAUAAGGAUCGGCUAACUACGUG
RNAcentral lists this ribosomal RNA (490 nucleotides) under uncultured bacterium. Its description in RNAcentral is "partial 16S ribosomal RNA". It matches the Rfam family "Bacterial small subunit ribosomal RNA", at positions 28 to 507 of the family's 1533-position model. The record is from RNAcentral.